Molecule: ribosomal RNA, 253 nt
Filed under: uncultured bacterium
Lineage: Bacteria
Description: partial 16S ribosomal RNA
Rfam family: Bacterial small subunit ribosomal RNA
Source: RNAcentral
UACGAAGGGGGCUAGCGUUGCUCGGAAUCACUGGGCGUAAAGGGCGCGUAGGCGGCCAUUCAAGUCGGGGGUGAAAGCCUGUGGCUCAACCACAGAAUUGCCUUCGAUACUGGCGAUCUUGAGUCCGGGAGAGGUGAGUGGAACUCCGAGUGUAGAGGUGAAAUUCGUAGAUAUUCGGAAGAACACCAGUGGCGAAGGCGGCUCACUGGCCCGGUACUGACGCUGAGGUGCGAAAGCGUGGGGAGCAAACAGG